This 517-nucleotide ribosomal RNA is filed under the name uncultured bacterium. Its description in RNAcentral is "bacterial SSU rRNA". It matches the Rfam family "Bacterial small subunit ribosomal RNA", at positions 21 to 518 of the family's 1533-position model. The record is from RNAcentral.
GGCUCAGAACGAACGCUGGCAGCGUGGAUUAGGCAUGCAAGUCGAACGGGAUCCGGGGGAUAGCAAUAUUCCUGGUGAGAGUGGCGGAUUGGGGAGGAACACGUGAGCAACCUGCCCUGGAGAUGUGGAAAACCGUUGGAAACGACGGCUAAUACAGAAUGUGGCGUCCGAUGGCAUCAUCGGAACGCCGAAGGGGGCCGCAAGGCUCCCGCUCCGGGAUGGGCUCGCGCACCAUCAGCUUGUUGGCGGGGUAACGGCCCACUAAGGCUUACGGUUAGCUGGUCUGAGAGGAUGACCAGCCCCACUGGGACUGAGAUACUGCCCAGACUCCUACGGGAGGCUGCAGUCGAGGAUCAUUCGCAAUGGGCGAAAGCCUGACGAUGCGACGCUGCGUGGAGGAUGAAGGCCUUCGGGUUGUAAACUCCUGUCAUGGGGGAAGAGGCGAGGGGACCCAACACGUCCCUUAGUUGACUGUACCCCAAGAGGAAUGGGCGGCUAACUCUGUGCCAGCAGCUGC